Molecule: ribosomal RNA, 528 nt
Filed under: uncultured bacterium
Lineage: Bacteria
Description: bacterial SSU rRNA
Rfam family: Bacterial small subunit ribosomal RNA
Source: RNAcentral
AAUAGAUACCCGGGUAGUCCACGCCGUAAACGAUGAGUGCUAAGUGUUAGAGGGUUUCCGCCCUUUAGUGCUGCAGCUAACGCAUUAAGCACUCCGCCUGGGGAGUACGGUCGCAAGACUGAAACUCAAAGGAAUUGACGGGGGCCCGCACAAGCGGUGGAGCAUGUGGUUUAAUUCGAAGCAACGCGAAGAACCUUACCAGGUCUUGACAUCCCACUGACCGGUAUAGAGAUAUACCUUUCCCUUCGGGGACAGUGGUGACAGGUGGUGCAUGGUUGUCGUCAGCUCGUGUCGUGAGAUGUUGGGUUAAGUCCCGCAACGAGCGCAACCCUUGAUCUUAGUUGCCAGCAUUUAGUUGGGCACUCUAAGGUGACUGCCGGUGACAAACCGGAGGAAGGUGGGGAUGACGUCAAAUCAUCAUGCCCCUUAUGACCUGGGCUACACACGUGCUACAAUGGAUGGUACAAAGGGCUGCAAGACUGCGAAGUCAAGCCAAUCCCAUAAACCAUUCUCAGUUCGGAUUGCAGG